GCCGGGAUGGUGGAACUGGAAGACACGCUACUUUGAGGGGGUAGUGGGCGAAAGCCUGUGCGGGUUCGAGUCCCGCUCCCGGCA
This 84-nucleotide transfer RNA is filed under the name Candidatus Eiseniibacteriota bacterium. RNAcentral's name for it is "tRNA-Leu". It matches the Rfam family "tRNA". Rfam says of the family: Transfer RNA (tRNA) molecules are approximately 80 nucleotides in length. Their secondary structure includes four short double-helical elements and three loops (D, anti-codon, and T loops). RNAcentral also lists the same sequence under 1 other name. The record is from RNAcentral. Lineage: Bacteria; Candidatus Eiseniibacteriota.